GCACUUCAAGAAAAUCUUCCCUACCUCUUAUCCCCACAGGCAGAUCCAUGUGAUACGAAUGAAUAGAGAUGACAGACUUCUGUCUAAACGUACAGUUUCCCCGUGGCCCCCGAUAAGCAGGUCGCCCGUGCAACCGAAGCACAGUUUCAAAGCACCGGUUACACCAAAAACUGUGUGUGCCUAAUGUCAGGAUUUUCGCUCUCUCUCUUCUUUUUUUUCUUUUCGGUCUCUUCCUCAAAGUGUUUCCUCCCCCGGCCUUCCCCCUCCCCCUCGGGCUCUUUCGUUUUAAUCGAUGCCAGGAGAAAAUGCCUCUACCUGCAAGAAAGGCGCACGAUGGCACCUGGGGAUAGGAGUCGUCCGACGGCAGCGGAUCACUGGAGGCAAACAUCGAAUUAAUUGGAUCUCAAUGACUGAGCCUGACAUUGGAAUAGCCAUGUGUGUUUCCUGUACAACUAGAGGGCCUUCCUUGCACUAUUUUGUAAAAGCAAAUACCACUCUUCUAAGCCCAGUGAUUAUUUUUUCAAGGUUAGUAAUGACGCAUAUUCCUAAUGUUUAUUGUUGCUAAAGACUUUCAGACUGACUGCAGGUCUGGCACUUUCUAUGAAGAGUCAUUUUCAGAUGUGUCCUCCCUUUCUUUGAAAGUACCGGCUUGAGCAAAGUGAGGUGAGGCAAGGCAACCCCAGCUGGAAACCAACGCUUUUUAAAGUUUCUCUGCUCUUUCGAUUAAUACUCGAUUUUUCACAAAUAAUAUGACAUUGAAAAAUGAACGAUAUGAUAAGCUGUAUUAUUAGGCUAUAGACAUAUUGGGGACCCAAUGCAGUGGCAUGAAUGUGAAAUUUACUUUUGAUACUUGUGGAAGUCGAAUCUGGCCAUUCAUGAAUUAGAUAGUAGUGUCCAUAUGGCAUUGGUCUCAAACUCAUUUCCAACGUUCAUAGCAGUUUGAGUUAAAAGAUAGUUUUUGGGUUUGGUUUGUGGUUGGGGUUUGGGUUUUGUUUUGGUUUUGAUUUUUUUGGGUGGGUUUUUUUUGUUUUGAUUUUUUAUUGGUUGUUGGUUGGUUUUGGUUUUUUUUUGGUUUUUUUUUUUUUUUUUUUUUUCUCCUCACAAAGUCAGUUUUGUUUUGUGCUUUAGAAACUAUGUAGACAUUGAGAACAGAUAUCAGUGAAUUUCGUGUUUCCAAGUGUGGCAGAAUCGUCUUUGCAUACCUUCCUCUGAAACCAGCGAUAGAAAGCAAAGAGAGAAAGAAGUAAAGAGAGGGAGAGAGAGGAAGAAGGGGAAAAAAGACAAUUCGGCCCCGCUAAAUUAGGUAGCAGAUCUAUAACUAAGAAACCAUACAAUCAUAUUUAACAAGCAUCUGAUUAAUGCUCUGGGCAAUUUCAAACAUGGCUUUGUUCAGACUAUAUGACUUGAAACACAUCAUUUCCCGGACCAGUGUGAACGCUGGAGACUCAAAACCAAAAUGUCCCUACCGUUUUCCUUAACUCCUUACAUGAGAAGAAAAGGGACAUAGGUUCAUUCCCACGGAGGAAAGAGAGAGGAGAACGAAAGACAAAGCACAAGGACAUACGCCUCCGGAGCACAACAGCACAGAAGUCUGCACCCUGAGAACCAGGGAACAUUUCUCAUCCCCCUGAAAGACUAAUGCCCUCCUCCUGCCACUGCAAUUUCCUUUGCAACAAAGCCGUACAUUAAGUGGGCAUGGUGGAUAGUAAGGACCUACCAGUUUCUUGCUGGAGUUCUGCUAAUAAAUAAAAUUCUAAAUGUUCAAAACACUCUAUCUGUCACAUUCACAAGAUAGGUACUGUAAAUUCCUGUUGAAAAUAUACAAACAGAGAUCCAAGAGGUUGCCUCUGUUUUUGUAUCUCUCUCUCACAAGAAAUGCUCUAUCAAAACAUUAAUUAUAUUUGAAAGGGAACAGAUUAUUUGUUUGAGAAAGAAUUACAUUCUUGAAUUUAUAUUCCACGCAGACCUCUCCUCCUGUCUGCUGAGAGGGUUGAACUGUAAAUCUGCCUCAAAUUAUUUACCCCUAAAAUGUAAGUAGGUGUGUCAUAUUAGAGUAGUAGAGAGAUGAGAGAUAAUCUGUAGGUGCUUUUAGACACCUCUGUGGGAUGGGUCGUUAGGGAAUGUCGGAAUGAACACGAAAUUGCAAAUCUAACAUGUGAAGAACAUACACGCUUAUUCUUUGACAAUGAAAAUACAAACGCACAUAGAGAUGCAGAGUUGAACCUAGUUGGUUAUUAAACAUGAUGACUCACGGGAGUUUGGGCCCGCAGUUCCUUUUUGUUUAGUUGGUUUUGCUUUGGUGUUUCUUUUUGUUGUUGUUUUUUGGGUUUUGUUUGGGUUUUUUUGUUUGUUUUGGCUUUUUUUUUAACGCUUUCAUGCACAUCUUAUAGUAGCCGAUAGUUGAAAAGCUACUGACCGUGUGGUGAGUCAUCACGUAAGUCAAGAGAAAACUCUUAAAGAUUGUACCUUCUUUCAUGCUUUAAAAAACAAUAAUAAAAGGGUUAAAUAGGUGCCCUCAUACCAUUGCCUUUUUUCUGAGAAAAAUAGUGAUUUAGUGGGACUUUAUUAGGAGCUCUUGGAAAACUCUCCUUGAAGUCACCUUUUUGCACUCUCUGCUAGCCAGACCUUCAGCAUUUCCUAACCUACCUCCAGACAAGUGUUUUGGCAGGAAUUGAUGUGAACAGUCCGGUCAGAAAGUUUUUUGGUGCUGUUGCGUCAUGCUUGGGGAAAUCCGUCACUGAAUCAGUGCCCUUAGUUUGGGACCCGGGGAAACCGUGUUAGCACCAGGUCCUGCAGAGCUGAGCCCUUUUCUCUAUUCCUGUAUUUCUUGAGCCCUGGGAAACCGAAGCCAUGGGGCCUGAAGGGCGGUCGCAGGGAGCACGGGAAGGUGGGGGUGGGCGGACUUUUCUGCCUUGGAUGUGCCUGGGAUGUGCUCUCUCCCUGAUUAGGUAUCUGUGGAGGAAGAAGGUGACGUGACGAGAAAAGCCUGACAGCCAAAGUGGGAACUGUCCGGGAGAAGGAUCCGUGAUGAAUGAGGUCUGCGAAGUCAUGAUGCACAAGCAGCCCAGGACAGUGUGCUGUUAUCAAAUGCCGGGUUUUGUUCGCUAGAAUCAUAAAGAAAAGUGGGGAGGGGGCGGCGGGGUGGCGGGGGAGGGAGAUGAAGGUGAGGUGGGGGAGGGGAAUCCUGGAGAGGGGGUCAGUGAGGACUGGGAGAUCGGAGAAAUCAGUGGCUGUAAUGUUAGCGCGAGUUCAUCGUCUCCCUGGGAGAAGGAGAAGCUGCAUUUGUCAAAUGGGCUAGAGCCCUGACGGGAGGCAGAGGCGCCAUCGGAGCGCUCCGAGAUGCGGCUGUGAAAUGUGGAUCCUGACCGACCCGAGGGACAGUACUUUAUAACAUAAUCUAUCCCAAAGUCUUCCAGGCAGGUGUACGAGGUUUAGUCAGGCUCUUCAACAAUCUCCGACUCAUCGUAGAGAGCAAGUUCUGCCCCGGGGCAGGGGAUAGGAUGGGAAAAGCAGUUGUGAAGUCUUACUACAUAAACUAAAAUCCUACUAAAAUUACAAACAUUGUUUUAUUCCUGGAGUAAUUUCGUGCAGAACUGGAGCUUCUUCCUUAGGUUAGGCGGGAAGGGCUGCCGUGGACAAGCCUGUAACUUCUUGAAUUGUUUUUGACCGUGCACUGUAUUGCCGUAAUGCCAAUAAACGCUUUAAACGCGUCCUGCUAGCGGCCAUCAGACGCUCCAGCCCCUCAGGCCCGGUCCAAAGGACAUCUGGCCCGGUUCGGGACUUCUGGGUCACUCCCUACCUUCGGGCGCUCCUGGUGCUCUGGGAAAAUGUGGCUGGGUGGGCCGGGGUCUGUUACACUGACCUCCGGGUUUUCUUUCCUCGGAGGGGCCAGCCUUGGCUUGCAGGGGGUCGCAGAGGCAAGCGCUCACUUCGUAUCAGUGGGUUCAGGAUCUCAGGACGUUGAGUUUAGCGGCCGGAGACAGCCCUGCCUGAUUUGUGCCGGACUUGCUGUCUGCCUGCGAGGAGACACAGCUCUCCCAGGCACGGAUUCCCUGGUGGGUAGCAUGGCCCAUAUCGCUCGCCCUUUCAGUGAAUGCCAGCAGAUGGAUGCAAUUAAACCUCGGCGGUGCUCCCUAGCUGGACACCGAUCCAGGGUGGCAGAGGGUUGGCCAUUAUGCAGCGCCUAUGGGUCGGUGUUCACUGCCGACAGCUGUAACAGGGAGGAGGACCGAAUCAUGGGUGCUCCCAACUUUCCCGUCUCACAAAAGCGACGAGGGCACGACAGGACCCCAAAGGCUCAUGAUAGAAAAAGCCAAAAGCCAAAAAAAAAAAAAAAAAAGAAAAUAAAAGAAAAAAGAAAAAAGAAAGCACCACCACGUAUUGGGAAAACUCAAAUAUCUAUGUAAUGUUAUUAAAAAUAAUAAAAUCCCAGCAACACAACGGUCUCUUUUAAAGGGAAUCUGAGGAGCGCAGUGAGCUAAGUGAAAGCUCUGUUUUCAAGGCAAGGCAGGAUUAGUUCCCUGCACAUAAUAGCCAGUGUGUAGGAAUUGCAAAUGAACAUCACCAGCAGUGCUGGAGUUACCCUCUUUAAAUUAAUAUCGAGCUGGCUUCCCUGCGCAACGUGUAAAUAACAGACAUUUCUCAGCUAUCGAGGAGAAUGAAGAUUGAAAUAAACAUGUAUUUAUAUUUCCCCGUAGCUUAAUCCAAGAAACUCCUUUCCCGGGGUAGCCAGUCAGCAGUGGAGGAAUUCGGGGCAACGCCCCCCCGACCUGUUUUGCGGGUUAAAAACCACAUCAACAAAGCAGCAGCAGAGCCCCGAGCCGUACGGACGGCCGCACAGACAGGGUAAGCCCGAUCCCGGGCUCGGCGGGCUCCGCUGCCUCGGGCGGCCCCGAGCUCGGUCCGGCGGCGGGGCCGGGCGCCGCUGCCCCGCCCGGGCUCGCCCCGCUCAGCGGGGCCCCCUCGGCCGCGCUCCGUGCACCGACCGCGGGCCCGGCCCCAGCACCCGGCUGAAGCCUUUCCUCCAUCCCGUCAGCGGCCGUGCGAAAGGGGAAGGUAAUACAGCUGAUCUCCCGCCGUAAAGAGGGAGAGAGAGAAUGCUGUGAGCUCCAGGGCUCUUUCAGACACUUCAGAAAUUAGUGGGGGAGGGGAAGGGGCUAGGGCUAGGAAGGAUAGAUGCAUUGGAAACGGUAAAAUAAAAACAUGAUGUGAAGAUAUAUUUACUGUCAGCUCAGAGCCAAAACAUUUAUGCUCCCACGCCUUUUUUUUUUUUUUUUUUUUUUUUUUUUUUUUUAGCAAAUCGGAACUUAAGUGAUGCAUUUUAAUUAUUUUAGGAAAAUAAGCAAGAAGGCUCUUUUUCCGAGUCUAAAUAAAUAGCAGAGUGUUCUGCGCUGAUGAUGUCUCUGGCUCGUGAUGGCCUCAUCUAUCCAGCCACUACCGUGAGCUCUGAAAACCCGGGAAGAAUGGGGUGUUACUGGCAAUUUCUGAAAGGAACUUUCUAUUAUUUUUAGGGUAUUCUGAAACAGAAAAUGCAAAGAAUUUUCUGAUCGUCUGAGAGGUGAAAAAGGACCAAUAUUUUCCUAAAGCUUCAGCUCAUAUUUCUUAGGCCUUAUGGGAAUAACAAUUUUCCUUAUUUUUCAAAUAGUUAUUUCAACUCCUUGCAAGUAGUGGGAAAAAGGUACACAUUACCCUAAAAGAGAAGGCACUGGAGGCCUUGCAGUCUCUGAGAUCAGCUUAGUGAUUUAUUUUUCUCCCCACUCCCCUGUCUCUCACCAAUCCCCAACUUUGAUCUAAACCCUGACAACUUUCUUCCUGCAUACUUGUCCCUAAUCUUCAAGAGAUUGCACAGACUUAAAGGAGAGUGAUACUCUGAAGAGCCACAUUUUAUUUUGGGGAGAUGGGAGGAGGAUAACCCUACUUCACCUAGAAGUAGUUCCCGUUUGAUUGUAAUUGGAAAAAAAUCCAAACCCCAAAACCCACCCCCUAAAUCCCAAAGAAAAAACCAAGCACAAAACAAAUCCCAAAGCAUGUGAGAAUGCAGUAAAACAGAGCCUCCUUAUGUUAACAUUUAAAGAAAAUAAUGAAAAAGUGAAGUACAAUUGUAGGGAACAUCAAACCACACACACACACAAGCAGCAGAAAAUAUCAGUCCUAAUUUUUGUGGUUAAAAAAUUGAAUCAAUUAUAGGUUUCAGUUUUCUGCAGGAACACCUAAAAUAUUUAUGACCAGCAGGGCUUAUUACACAGUCUUCUUUUCGAACAGGAUAUCUUUUCUCAUCUUUAGUAAAGAUUUUCAUAAUGUUUCUCUUGCUCCUCUCCUCUACACUGACUUCCAUUUAGGGUAAAUGCUGUCACUCAAACAUAGCAUCCUGUUCCUGUCAGCUCAAAUGAACUCAGUGAAAAGUUCAGUGUAACUACAGGCGAAAUCCUUUUUUUUUUUUUCUCUUCGUGGUGUGUUUACAUUGCAUCUUCAAGAUUCAUCUAUGGAAAGCCCAGAGUUGUGACUUUGGACUCUGUGCCAUCACUCUAAGUGGUGCAGAAACUGCCAAAAAAGGGGAGAGCUAGUAAAGUCACAUGUUUUUGGUUCCUGAUUCAAGCAGAACAGCAGCAUCAGCAACAGCAACAUUAAGACUUUAUCAAGGGAAAAAAAGAUAGAAGGAAGAAGAAAGAAAGCCUAACAGCAGUGAAAGAAAGCAAGCAGAAGUGUUUUGCAGACCAGAAUGGCACUACUGAUUUCCAGCCUACAUGGUUCUUACCUCAAAAAUGGCACAGACCACAGCUUGCAGUACCCAGAAGGGUGACAAGAGAAAGUAGUGGAGGUCUCUGGGUGUCUGAUCAGUCUGUUUUGCAACACAUGAACCAACCUUUGUUAAUGUCUCUUAAGAGUUUUUUGACAUGCUCCCCUACAAGCAAAGCAGAAAAGUGCUCUCUGCCUUGUUUCCAUGUACAUCCUAAGGUGCUCCAGACUUUCUCUGUAAAAUUCCACCAUGAUCCCCAUUGAAACUAUGAAAUAGUGCUGUUGGUUUACAGGGGGAAACUUGGGCAUCAGGACUUGUGUAAGCAGGUGUGUACAAGUAAGCAUGUGUGAGACCUAGCUGCUUAUUCACUCAGAAGGACCACCUCUAUCUCUCUCUUCCUACAACACAAUAGAAUUACUGACACUUCCAUUUACACUCCUGUUCUGCCGGAGUCCAUCGAAUCUUGGCCUCCUUGCCUGGUGACCCUGAAGUAUCAAAGGAAGAAAGAGGCAAAAAAUGAAAAGUUGCAAAAAAAAAAAAAAAAAGGUUUAAAUGUACUUGAAAUGUUCCUAAUUGAUGGAAACAGGUGGAAAAUAUUUUUGAGAUUAUUUACGUAAAUGUUGGAAGCCCCAUGGAUCUAAUAAUUCAAUGCCAAGUCUGCAACCCCCCCUCCCCCGAGAUUAAUGCAAUCUGAGCAAUGUCCUUUCAUUGAAAGGAAAUAGAUUAACUUCUUCUGUAGAUCUUUCUUCUGUAAAUUUUUAGAAUUGAUACUUUCACAAAAACAUAAGCCAAGUUAUAUACUACCUUGGUAUGUUCAGUUAAAAAAUCAAAUAUUUCAGAUUUUUUGAUGGAGCUGAAGCCAAAAAAGAAGCAUCAAAACCAAUGUUGACGACGUUGAACAAUGUUGAUUUACAGUGUUAUCAUUACACUUCAGAAAUAACAGAGUACUGCCAAGAAAAGGAGUUUUUCAAUCUUCCUUUAGGUCUAUUGAUCAGGAGUGACUUUGAAACUUCCUUCUGGCAUCUAGAAUUCGUUCACUACUAUUGAAAACCUGCUUGAAGUUUGGAGGAGCUAAAAAUCUCACAAUUAAUGAAUUAGUUAAUAAUGAACUGGUAGGAACUGCAAAAAUUACUGAAGCCAUGAGACAAAAAGAUCUGUUCUCUUUCUUUUGUUGAUCUAGUAUUGAAAUAUCAUUAAAAGCACUGCUCCCUUUGCUCAUACCAAUCUUCAUGAAAAUAAUCCUCCAGUCUGGAUGUAUGUAUUUGGAUUUUAUUUAUUAGGGAUGGGAACUUUUCUCAAAUUCUAUUAUUUGUUUUGGUUACUUGCUCAUUGAUAACAGUAAGUGUUCUGGGGCAGUUGUUGCAAGAUACUUGAACUCAGCACCCUAUAGGAGUUUCAGAUAUUCUCUGGGUAGAUUAUGUGCCUGGUGGGAACUGGUUUAUGUACUGAUUAAGAAGAACACUUAAAUAACCUGGCCAAUGAUUUAGAGAAUGUUCUGCAUAACUGUGUAUUUUUCCAUAAGUGGGACCACCCUCCAUGCCAUGUAGAGACAUGAUUUCUGCAUAUGCAGUGUGGAACAGGAAGUCUGAUGAAAGAAUAUAUGACACUCCUGUAUGCAGAAAGAGGAAGAAAAUCUGCUCCUGAUGUGUGGCAGUCCUUUAAGAGAUACACUUUUUGAGGAUGAGGAAGAUCCUGAUUUACUCCUCUGCACUGAAGUAAAAGCAGUGCUAUCAGCAUGUAGGCUCCAUGCCCAGCCUGAUCUCAGGUUUGCAGUUUUGCUUUUCUGACUGCUCUUGCAAAGUUAAGUUCCUCUGCUCCGGGACUGAGUGUGAAGAAGCAGCCAUGUCGAGGCCAAUUCUCUUGGAACAUGGGCCUGAAUUAGCUUUCAGAGCUAUUUCAAAAGCCUGUGUCAGGCUAGAGUUUCCAAUGUUGAGUUUAACCAAUGCUUUUCUUCAUGAAGGCAUAAUUAGGAAAGGACAAUUGAAAUACUUUACAUCCAGAAUGCUGCAGAAGGUUGCAGCCUAGAAAGCCAACCAUUUCAAAUCUUCUAAAGCAGAAUGAGAAGGUUGAGGGAGGUGAUACUGACCCUCUACCCUGCUUUGGUGAGACCUCACCUUGAGUACUACUUCCAUCUCUGGGGUCUCCAGUCCAGGAAAGACAUGAGCCUUCAGGAGCAGGUUCACAGAAACACCAGCAAGAUGAUUAGAAGGAUGGAGCACCUCUCCUAUGAGGAAAGGCUGAGAGAAUUUGUUUUAUUCAGCCUGGAAAAGAGAAGGGUUCAGGGUGACAGAGUUGCAGCCUUCCAGUACUUGAAGGGAGCCUACAAGAAAACUGAAGGGGGAGUUUUUACACAAGCAUAUAGUGACAGGACAAGGGGAAAUGGCUUCAGACUGAAUGAGAUUAGGACCUCUUCAAACCCAAACUAUUCUAUUAGUCUGUAAAGUACUAUACACUUUUCUGUUGAAAUUAAUCACUGUAGAAAAGAUAGUGUGUCCUAAAAACAAGGCAACAAAGGGGAAUUCACCAUUGCUUGUCUUGUAAAUAAGGACCAGAGACCAUGACAUGGUAGCUCUCCUUUACUGAGGAAUCUCCAGAUGUGCAGGGCAUUUGUUUUUAUUUUAGGUUUUCAUGUUUCACUUGGUGAACUUCUCUUUUGGAUCUGUAAGUAUCUAAUAUAUUUAUCUGCAAUUAAUCUAUGAGUGCUCUAACUGUACUGAGAUUUGUCACUCCAAAUCCAAACUCCAGUUGUAGGUUAAAUAUUCACGCCUAAAAGUAGAAAACCAAAGGCCUGGCAUCUCAUUCUAAGAGUUAUUUUCAAGUGUGCACAAUACUACUGGCUAAAUGGACAGAGAAGCAUUUGUCCAGGACUUGUAUAAAGGUAGCUGGGAUGGUCUGCUUUAGGCUGCUGCAAUUUUUAGGCACUAAACUAAGACAAGAAGCUUCCAAUUUAAUAAAAAGUGAUUUGAAAGUUGCUAAGCAACUUAUAGAAUCUUGCUUUUUAAGAAGUCCAUUUAUUUGCUUAAUUUCAGGAAAAGGUUGCAUGUUAUUAUGUAAGUUGCAUAAAUAAAAAGAGAAAAGCAAAAAGGAAAUGUAAUAGGAAAUUUUCUUUGCUUUCUGUCUUUUGCAAUUAAAACCCUUUUAGUUGUUUUGUGGGGUUUCAUCAGGUAUUCAACAAAUGUUAUUUAUGUAUAAAACUUCAGGAGUUUAUUGACUAUGCAAGAAAGGAAAAAAAUUAAACAGGUUUGUCAUAUGGUAUGUGUUUAUCUUAACCUUUCUUCUUCAAAAAUCUUAUCUACUAAGUACUUUUAUCAGACACUAAUUAUACUCCCUCUGAAAAGAAUUUCUCCAACACCCUUCAGUGCCUACACCCUUUAAUCAUAUCUCAUUACAUCUACCUAAUCCAUCUCUUUCUCGCAUUGCCAGUGCUCAUUAAUAGUUUUAAAAGCCAGUCCUGGAUAUUAUCUUUCCUUUCUGUAGAAAGACAAAAAAUACCAAUACUGUUUUAUUCCUAGAUUUCAUAGCCAUUUGUAAUUAGAUAAAAAAUUAUCUGAAAAUAUUGAGGGUUUUUUUCAGGAAAAUAACUCUAAAGUAUGUGACAGAACAGCAAUAAAAUCUUAUAGGUCCUUUCACAAAUUGUUGUUUUUAUAAGCUAUUUUAACAGUGGAUCAAUGACCACUUUGAAAGGAAGUGAUUUUUGGCUAAAAUUUAACAGAUACUGUGCUUAACAGAUAUUUUAUAGGUGAGACAUGUAUCACCUUGUAAACAAAGUGGGUGACCCAAAGGAUUUCUACAUGAUUGUGAGAGGGAAAAAAAAAAGAAAUUAUGCAUAAAACAAAAGACCUUCCAUUAUUCUUUUGCCCUGUGCAUGCCUUAUAUCAGUGCAGCUUGAAAAGCUUAUAUAAAGUGUCUCCAGUAUAGUGACAGCUAAAGUGAACUGAUUGACACAGAAUGAAUAAUUGGUCAAAAUUUUUUUUUUCUGUUCUCCAAUUGUUUGCAAACAGGCUACAAAAUUCUUUACUACUGUUACACAUUAAAACUAUUUGUAAAUCACUUCAGUGAGUAAUCAUCAAUCUAGAGACCCUCCCGUUUGUUGUGAGUUUUGACAAUUUGUAAUCUACAUUUUAUUAAUUCAUUAAGUAGCCUAUGUGAAUUUGUGCUCCUAUUUUCAGGAUAGAUAGGUCUACAUUAUGCCAGCUUGCCUCACCUGAAAAUCUGAGCAGAGUACUGGUUAAUUUUCCAAAGUUAAUAUGUCAUGGUCAUGGUUUUGAGGUAAAACCAGUUGCCAAAUUUUAACUAGGAAGAUUAUUUUCCCCAGAUCUGAUUAGAAGAACUACUGAGAGGUUAUUUUCAUCUUCUUUUGUAAUGAAUAAUAUUACCAUGUUCUAUGGAUUAUCUGGCAGUUUUAUUCAAUAUAUUGCAAUUAUAAUUUCAAGAACCUGUGACAUUUUUUCUCAUACUCUGAUACACCUUAAUUCUAGCUUUUAACUAAAUCCCAAAUUAAGUUAAUACCAUGAUUGAGAAAGUGCUUAUUUGUUUCUUUGUUUUUUAAAGAACUAUGGACACAGAGUAUACAUCCAUUCACACUUGAUUCCUUGGAGGUAGGAAGAGCAAGCACAAUUUCCUGAAUUUCAGGAAUCUUGGGUUGACCAAGGCAAUUUUGUAUAACUGUUGCAUCUAUUUAAUGACUAACUGUGGCUAUAGGGCAGCCAUAUGGAUCUUUUCAGUCCCAUCUUCUUAUAGAAAAUUCAGAAUUUAUAUUUUACUCUGAAAUUAAAAUAUGUUUGCAGGCAAUACAACUGAUAUGUCAUACAAAUACAUUCAGAAUAACUGACAUUAUUCACAAAGCAAAUGAAUAUAAUCUGGAGUGUCAUCUGUAAAUAUGGUACUGGUUUGCUAUGUUUGUAAUUACUGCUUCUUUUCACUGAAGAGCUGAUUUAUGUAGGUCAACACAAUAUAUGAAAAAAUUGUAGAUAUAAAAGUUACAGUCAACCGAAACUUGCUUUUAGAACUAUGAAUGAAUUCAAGCUGAAAAAUAUUUUUGUAAGUAUUUCUUAUUACAGAACAAUUGUAUUGUUUUCAGGAAGCAAACAGAAAAUGUCAUACCUUGAGUAAACCUAAAGGCAAUGUGUUAUUUCCCAAUCUGUAAAAAUAUGUAUGGUUUGAGAUGUCUUUUUGUUUCACACUGAAAAUAAAACUCUUUGGAACACUUUUAUGUAAUAAAAUUGCAUACAUCUGUUUUGGAACCAAA
Molecule: non-coding RNA, 11984 nt
Organism: Taeniopygia guttata (zebra finch)
Lineage: Eukaryota; Metazoa; Chordata; Aves; Passeriformes; Estrildidae
Source: RefSeq, a predicted model, not a curated record